CUUCGGUAGAUGGUCCUCCCUGUGGGCCCAGUUGCCCCAGUUCGUCCCAGCCAGUGCAGAGCAGUGAUUUGAGCUAUGGGGCGAGGUGUGGGGGGCGGAGGGCCUCACUGAAGCACCCCAAAACUUCGGGUUCAUCUCAGCGGGCAGGUGGGCAGGCUGCGAAGCUCGGCUCCCGGGGGCCCGAGCAUCCCCGCGGCGGGGGCUCCCGCCGAAGCCCCGUGCAAGGAGCGAGAAAUUACGAAUGGCUCCUUUCCCCCCCGCCGGCCCCUUUCGCUCACGCUUCGCCGUCCCCCGCCGGCAGCUGCUUCCCAUUACCGUAAAAGCUGACAAGGUGCAGGGCUGGCGCGGAGCCUCCCCGGCAGGAAAUACGGGAGGUUUGGGAAGRCGAGACUCCAGGACCUUGAAUUCGCCUCACCUGUACCUGACGCUGCAGGGUUUCUAGCCCUGGAAGGUCUCCGGCAUGCGCAGGACGGAGAGUCCUUCGGAUCAGCGUGGAUCUGCCAGGCUUUCACACCCCAACUCCCAUUUUCACAGCAGGAGGAUUGGAGAUGGGGGGGGGGGNNNNNNNNNNNNNNNNNNNGGAUUAAGGGAAGGGGGGGGGGAGAAAAAAAAAAUCCAAGCACCGUUUUAGAAAAUGGCAAGACAAAGAACAGAUUGUUUGAAUGAUUUGCCCAAAUUUGGUCAAAACUAAGUUCAGUCUGAAACUGUGGUGUUUCCUUCCUCCACCCCAUCGGCCUCCACAGAAAUCUGCCACAUUUUAGCAGAUCUGAGCACCUUACAAGCACAAAAGUUAGGCCACACAAUAUAUCCCCYGGCGGCUUUUAAAUGCUUGCAUGGCGUUUUGAGAUUUUGUGGUGGCAAAGUGGGAUACUAGCAGCUAACGAAUUUAGUGAUUUAUAAGCCAUGACAUGCUAAAUUAAUUAAGAAACAGUGGACAAAAUGCAAAUAUAGGAAUAGUGAAUUAGACCCUGUUACUAACCAGAUUUCAGAUGAUGAAUAUCUAAGCUCAUACGUGAUGAAAAAGCAAAGCUAUGAGAAGUGUCUGCAGUCACAAAACAAAGUCUAUUAAGCCUACUUGUUCUGGAUAGUAUUGAACAAAGCUCGGGAGAAAAAAUUGGAUAAAAUAAAUGCUUUUGAUUCUCUAAUGUGUUUUGAGCC
RNAcentral lists this long non-coding RNA (1158 nucleotides) under Dromaius novaehollandiae (emu). Its description in RNAcentral is "lncRNA (ENSDNVG00000012428.1)". The record is from RNAcentral. Lineage: Eukaryota; Metazoa; Chordata; Aves; Casuariiformes; Dromaiidae.